GGGCUUGUAUGGAUUUGACGGCAAGACGAAAUCGUAUGUAAGCACGCGGAGCCUCGUUGGCUAGCUCCUUAAUCUGAGUGAACACAAAUUUAAUUGGCGAAAACAACUACGCUCUCGCUGCCUAAUUGAAGUAUAGUAGAUUACUGGCUUAAUCCCUGCGCCAGGCGCGGGGACGAGACAUCGCUCCGAGGAUCGUUUUCCGAAUCCAAAGAUUCAGCGGUGCAGACUUCUUCGGAAAUAGUCAAGGAUGGCCCCACAUUCUUGAUGAAAAGCUUUAGGGGAUAAGACGGCAGUUGGUGGUCCAGGUCUUGCUGCCGUACGAAAAUGAAGGCUGGAAUAAGCGUGUAGAAAGCGUAUGGCUUCCUUGUUCGGACCGGGGUUCGACUCCCCGCAGGUCCACU
This 401-nucleotide transfer-messenger RNA is filed under the name uncultured Prevotella sp. It matches the Rfam family "transfer-messenger RNA". From Rfam's summary of the family: Bacterial tmRNA, also known as 10Sa RNA or SsrA, is named for its dual tRNA and mRNA-like properties. Lineage: Bacteria; Pseudomonadati; Bacteroidota; Bacteroidia; Bacteroidales; Prevotellaceae. The record is from RNAcentral.